RNAcentral lists this ribosomal RNA (467 nucleotides) under uncultured bacterium. RNAcentral's name for it is "partial 16S ribosomal RNA". It matches the Rfam family "Bacterial small subunit ribosomal RNA", at positions 28 to 507 of the family's 1533-position model. The record is from RNAcentral.
GACGAACGCUGGCGGUGUGCUUAACACAUGCAAGUCGAACGGAAAGGCCUCUUUCGGGGGGUACUCGAGUGGCGAACGGGUGAGUAACACGUGAGUAACCUGCCCUUGACUUUGGGAUAACUUCAGGAAACUGGGGCUAAUACCGGAUAGGAGCUCCUGCUGCAUGGUGGGGGUUGGAAAGUUUCGGCGGUUGGGGAUGGACUCGCGGCUUAUCAGCUUGUUGGUGGGGUAGUGGCUUACCAAGGCUUUGACGGGUAGCCGGCCUGAGAGGGUGACCGGCCACAUUGGGACUGAGAUACGGCCCAGACUCCUACGGGAGGCAGCAGUGGGGAAUAUUGCACAAUGGGUGGAAGCCUGAUGCAGCAACGCCGUGUGCGGGAUGACGGCCUUCGGGUUGUAAACCGCUUUCGCUCAUGACGAAGCUUUGUGUGACGUUAGUGGGUAAAGAAGCACCGGCUAACUACGUG